This 1617-nucleotide ribosomal RNA is filed under the name Triticum aestivum (bread wheat). Its description in RNAcentral is "partial small subunit ribosomal RNA". The record is from RNAcentral. Lineage: Eukaryota; Viridiplantae; Streptophyta; Magnoliopsida; Poales; Poaceae.
AUGCCAAGUAAGCGCAAAGUUUCUGGUGAUGGCCAUGAGGGUGUUCCUUCCAAAAAGCCGAAGCGCCCUCCACCUCGGAACAGGGCUUCGCCAAACUCACUUCUGGCUGCGUGUAAAGAUUUGUCUGAUGGUAGAAAAAAUGCUAUCGAUGAAAUGGACUUGAAAAGCCUUCGAGAGAUCAAGUGCGACCACCUCUUCAAUUUUCUUAGUGAGUGGCUUGCUGGGUUAUACGAGCCAGACUCCCGUGAAGUGGUUGUUCCGGGGCGUGGGAGGAUCCCUAUUAACGAAGAGUCGGUUCAUCGUGUGAUGGGCGUGCCCCGUGGCGGGAAUGAUGUCCCUUACAGUCUGCCCACAGAAGCUGAUAUUGAGUUCGGGAUUGAGAUGUUUGGUGAGCUUGGUUACACACCGAAGACGACUGAUGUCCUUAAUCUCAUAACUAGUUCUGCCAAUUAUGAUGAGAAGUUCAAGCGGAUGUGGCUUAUGCUUGCCGGCAAUACUGUCAUUGCUCCUACUACAUCCAACAAGAUCAGCCCUAGAUGGUAUGGUGUGCUGCAAAACAUUAAUACAGUCAAGGACUUGAAUUGGUGCAAGUUCAUUGCUGAUGAGCUCCAUAAGGCACUUUUGAAGGGGAGGCCUACAAAGGCGUGUCUUCUUUUCUACAAUCUUUUGUACAUUGAUGCUAUCGAUCUUACUGGUCUUGGUAUCUCAUUGCCCAUUGGAGCGUUUGCUAUCAAUGUUUGGACAAAAGAGAAGAUAUCUGAAUUGCUUAGUAUGGAUGUCCAAGCAGACGGAAUUUCUUAUGGAAAACUACCGUUGAAACCCCAGUUUGGUGUCGAUUUCUGGUUGUUUGGCGGUUUACAAGGUCUUGGGAACUUCAUGCGUGUGCAUGUCCCACCAAACUACAAUGAAGAGAAACUUGCAAAGGCUUCUAAGCUCGUGGGUCGGUUUUCAUCUGGCUUGGUUGGCCUGCUUGGCGAUCUUGUGCAAGGGUUCGUCUCACUUGAUGAUGAAGGUUGUUCAUAUGUGUCUCGUCGACUAGACACUGAUCUUAGGACGAUUUCUUCUGCUACCCGGAAUAUGGCAAAGCCCUCUCCUGCCCGCCGUACCCGUCAAUCGGAGAGUCCCGGCAAGAAUAUUAUGGAUGAGUCUGAUACUGACCAUGAUACGAAUGAAAAUGACGGGGACGAAUCUGAUGAUGAUGAUGAUGACUUUACGGUUUUGUAUCAUGGUUCUUCUUCCCGCAGCGGGGCAGAGAAUGUGGCCUCUGGCAGCAGGGCAGCGGAUGUGGAUACAACUCACACAGGCAAUGCAAACGCUGAAUUGCGUGACAGUGUAAUAGAAAAUGUAGAAGGCAUACCUGAUAGUGUCGCAGGAAAUGUGGACCCAACUCAAUCAAGCGAUGCAAACGCUGAAGCACGUGACAGUGUAGCGGGAAAUGUCGAAGGCAUAUCAGACCGUGCGGGCGAUGAACCUAUUAUUGAGUCCCAGAUAUUUCUCACUGGUACUUCUAACACGGUGUCAAGCAGCUCAAGGGAUGGCGUGCUCAGCCAGCGUGAUAUGACAGACACGCAAUUUGAUUUGGCCACUGAGUCUUCUGUUAAAAGAUGCGGUGCUUAG